RNAcentral lists this ribosomal RNA (449 nucleotides) under Halomonas sp. RNAcentral describes it as "bacterial SSU rRNA". It matches the Rfam family "Bacterial small subunit ribosomal RNA", at positions 123 to 573 of the family's 1533-position model. Lineage: Bacteria; Pseudomonadati; Pseudomonadota; Gammaproteobacteria; Oceanospirillales; Halomonadaceae. The record is from RNAcentral.
AAUCUGCCCGAUAGUGGGGGAUAACCUGGGGAAACCCAGGCUAAUACCGCAUACGUCCUACGGGAGAAAGGGGGCUUCGGCUCCCGCUAUCGGAUGAGCCUAUGUCGGAUUAGCUGGUUGGUGAGGUAAAGGCUCACCAAGGCGACGAUCCGUAGCUGGUCUGAGAGGAUGAUCAGCCACAUCGGGACUGAGACACGGCCCGAACUCCUACGGGAGGCAGCAGUGGGGAAUAUUGGACAAUGGGGGGAACCCUGAUCCAGCCAUGCCGCGUGUGUGAAGAAGGCCCUCGGGUUGUAAAGCACUUUCAGUGAGGAAGAACGCCUGGUGGUUAAUACCCAUCAGGAAAGACAUCACUCACAGAAGAAGCACCGGCUAACUCCGUGCCAGCAGCCGCGGUAAUACGGAGGGUGCGAGCGUUAAUCGGAAUUACUGGGCGUAAAGCGCGCGUA